RNAcentral lists this ribosomal RNA (1223 nucleotides) under Tetraphyllidea fam. gen. sp. scpl02. Its description in RNAcentral is "partial 28S ribosomal RNA". It matches the Rfam family "Eukaryotic large subunit ribosomal RNA", at positions 102 to 802 of the family's 3401-position model. Lineage: Eukaryota; Metazoa; Platyhelminthes; Cestoda; Tetraphyllidea. The record is from RNAcentral.
GAAAAGCCCAGCACCGAAGCCUGCGGCAGUUUUGCUGUUAGGCAAUGUGGUGUUUGGGCCGGCUCGUGGGAUUGCCACUCCAUUCGAAGUCCAGCAUUGAGUAUGGUCACUGGAUUUGGCCCAGAGAGGGUGAAAGGCCCGUACGAAUGGAGGUCCAGACAAGUAAGGCAGUUCACCAGGCCGGCCUUAGAGUCGGGUUGUUUGAGAAUGCAGCCCAAAGCGGGUGGUAAACUCCAUCCAAGGCUAAAUACUAGCACGAGUCCGAUAGCGAACAAGUACCGUGAGGGAAAGUUGAAAAGUACUUUGAAGAGAGAGUAAACAGUACGUGAAACCGCAUGCAGGUAAACGGGUGGCGUCAAGCUGCGAGCCCGGAGGAUUCAGCUGGCUAGGAUGUUGUGUAUGCGCCUGGCGCAUCUAUCAGUCGGAGUAGGGUGUGGUAGUCCACUGGGAUACGGUGGGCCCGGCCGCAAGGUCGGGAUAUGUGUACCGGGCGGAAGCCGGAGCAUGCUAUCCAUCUGUUGGACUGUCUAGUCAGUGCACUUUCUCUGUGGUGAACACCACGACCGGUGGUAUUGCCAGUCUGCUGUAGCCAAGUCGUAUUCAGUGGGUUCUUGUAAUCAACUGGGUGCGAUCACAGGCAAACUCAGUAAACGGCGUAGGGGUGUUUCGGCAUCUCUACGUGAUAUCGGCUACUGGUUGUCAACGGGCCGGCCUGAUGAUUGUUGUAAUCGUCAUUGGGUGGUCUGGUGGGCUAUGGUGGUAUGCAUAACUGUGCAAGGCACCGGAGUUCUCGGCCUCAGAUGCAUUCUACGCACACAUUACAAGUGGAGUGGGGUGCCGUUGUGUAGCCUGCCUGUUGUUGGGUCUGAUUGUCGUGUCGCCUGCGCAAAGUGGGCCCGGCGGUGGCCUGAUGUGGGAUGGGUUGCGGAUGGUGCCUCCUGUGUAGGGUGCUGUUGGCCAAAUAGUCAGUGGUGUAGUGGUAGACGAGCUACCCGACCCGUCUUGAAACACGGACCAAGGAGUUUAACAUGUAUGCAAGUCAUGGGGUCCUACGAAACCCAAAGGCGCAAUGAAAGUAAAGCUUCGACCUGUUCUCGGAGUGAGGUGAGAUCCUGCCGUUACUCGCAUCAGCCUUAUGUCAGCAUCAGGCUAAGAGCGGUGGGCGCAUCACCGGCCCGUCCCAUGAUGUGGCCAUUGGAUGUCUGCGGUCGUUGCUUGCAGCG